CCGUCGGGAGAUGGGCAGAUGGCAAAGAGUGUUCAUACCUGCCUCACAGGGCUGCUACAGUGGGGAAGUAAACAGCACCUGUAAGGAUUCUUCCCGUGAGC
Molecule: non-coding RNA, 101 nt
Organism: Microcebus murinus (gray mouse lemur)
Lineage: Eukaryota; Metazoa; Chordata; Mammalia; Primates; Cheirogaleidae
Source: RefSeq, a predicted model, not a curated record